Molecule: long non-coding RNA, 3797 nt
Organism: Pangasianodon hypophthalmus (striped catfish)
Lineage: Eukaryota; Metazoa; Chordata; Actinopteri; Siluriformes; Pangasiidae
Exons: 4
Source: RefSeq, a predicted model, not a curated record
UAAAGAAAUUCUGAUGUGUGCAAAUCUUGAAGGCUAAAGGUUAGCUACGGCAAGGUGAAGAAAGCAAUGGAUGGACAUAUGGCAAUGGAUGGCUUUUCUUGGUCUCUGUCUUUUGUCUCUUGCGUUACAGUAGUACUAAAUUUGUUCAGAGUUAGCUCAGAAAAAGUUAAACUGCAUUUGAAUAAAAUUAAAUUUUAUCUUUUGUACUGCAUAUGUACUAGGGAAGUGAACAAAUAAACUACUGACCCACUAUAUACAUUCAUGUAGGUUUUUUGGUUCAUGCAUACUAAGGUUAAUAACACCUAAUAUUCUGCAGGGGAACAUGAGCGUACACUGAUAAAACAAAAAUGCAAUGUUAAUACAAGAAAAUAUUAACAGUGAUGUUGCAAAAAUGCUUCAGCAUUUGUAGGCAUACACAAAAAUGAAAAUUAUGAAAGUGUUAGAAAUAAUAUUAAUAUUGUACUGUAUAGCUGACAAACUUGUAUAUAGGCUAUUUAGCUGUUUAUGGCUAUAAUUCACAUGAUAUAUGGAAAUUUACAUUGUGACUUAUGUAUUAGGCUUACAUGGUUAAAUUAUUUUCUGAAUUCAUUGCUUAUUAUUUGCCUUUUUUGUUUGGGAAGAAUAAAUAUCAUCAGAUUAGCACAGAUUAAAGUUGAAUAAACAUAGAAUUUCCUCUUACAUAAUGUUAAUAUGGAGUGUGUAAUGAUGUAAUCUGACUAUGACCCAUACAGCAUGUCUCUGAAAAGGUUGAAAACAUAUUUGACAUUGAACAUUGUGCUCAUUACAUCAACCAUGCCCACAGUUUACAAUCUUCCAUUAAUAACUCCCAAUAUUCUGUAAGGGAACAUGAACGUAUGCUGAUAAUAAAACAGAAAUGCAAUGAGCUGUUAGUUGGGGUGGGUGCCAAGGAGAGAGAGAUGAACUCUGCGGAUAGAGGGAGUCUACAGAAAUUUUGCAACGGACCUGUUAAGACAAAUAAUCAUAGAGUCCACUUCUAAGUCUUAGGCACCCUUUUUCAAAUCUUAUUUGAUUUACAAACUUUUUCCCCAAAAAACUUACAUUUUACAGAAAAAAACGUGUGCAUGCCAGUAAAGAAAGUAACAUAUUACAUAUCACUUUUCAGACAAAAACACAAUAAAGGCUGUCAGGGAUUACCUGAAAAAACAGAAGGAAGUGUGACAAUCAAAAAGCACUUUUAAAAGGGCCAAAUAUCAUACCAAAUAUUGACUUUGUUUAGUUUAUUGCUGUUUACUGCUGUUUAUAGUUGAAUCUUUAUGUUGAAAUUUUUUAUCUCAUUAUUUUUGAAAGCAUUUUUGCUCUACAGUAUUUCUUUACAUGUGCCUUUUUGCACAGUAAUACACACACACACACACACACACACACACACACAGAAGGCCUGCUUUAUGUUGGCCUGGAGUAUCAAGCACUUAAAAGUAUAUAAUAUCUAUCUCUCACAAAUGUGCUUGCAUUGGAAUAAUCUAUUUCUGUAUUCAUGUAAGAACUAUACAGUUUUAAACAGAGCUGCUUGAUAUAACUCAAAUAGAACAUUGUAUGUGUUGAUUCUUUUUAUAAACAUACAUAACUGAAAAACAUAACCAUGGACUCAUUUAAAUGGGAUAAACAGUGUUCAUAUACAUUUGUGCAUUGAAUGUGUCAACAUGAAUCACAACUGUAAAUAAAUUUGUGACACUCAAGGCCAGUCACUGAAUAAACACUAAUGUGUCUGCUGAACAUAUUACUGAACCUGUCAUCAUCUGACAGGUGUCAAAUGUGAUUUACACUUUUUUCAGCAUGUUCUCAGCAUAUUUGUUUUAGCACAUAUCCAGGAUUAUCAUAAAAUCAUACAUGGUCAAUUCAGGAAGGGUUCCUGGUUCCUGGUCCUGGCAUGUGUAUUUGAAGAGGUGCUUGGCAAAGCAAGCACGGCAAGAGCAGGCUGUUUUAGGCUGGUUAUCGCUAUAGACAUUGGCUUUCCUUAGAUUUAUUUGCUUAGCUAGGUCAUUUAUACUGAAGUAGAUAGACUUUGAGCUUAACAUUAUGUUCACAUUAGGCCUUUUUUUUUUUGGAAAGCAGGAAGAUUGAUUCUGAUACAUUUGCAUGCUUUGUAUAUCACUAUUCAUAGUUAUUUGAUCUUAGUAGACACGGUACCCCUGUGUUUAUAGGAAGAUUUUCGGAAGGUACACUACCCUUAGCCAGAUGAUAAAAUAACAAUGUCUCAUAGCUAUGCUAGUGAAAAUCAUGGGAAGCGUAGUUGUAAUGGCACUAACUGCACAAAAGCAACUUUUUAACAUUUCAACAUUAAACAUUAGGACAUGGAGGAGCUAUACAUUAAACAUUAGAACAUGGAGGAGCUAUACAUAUUUCAUCCCGUCCUCUAUUCAAAUAGUGCAAACUCCAGGUUUAUUGGCACCCUUAAUAAAAUUCAUUCUCAGGUCUUUGCAUUAAUAAUAUAGGUUUAAUAUUGCAUGACUAGAGGAAAAUGUUCCCUGUUAUAUAACUGCAAGUAGUUAGUUGUUAGUGGUUAGAGAACAGAUGAAGGGGAGCUAAACAUUCCAUUUAGACCAUAAAUACUCUAUAAAUACUCUAAAUACUCUAUAAAAGACAAUAAAUGCUAGCACAGACGCUAAAACAGUGAUGAUUAACAUCCAUUACAUUACACUAAGCACUGCGCUAAACAAAAUCACACAGUCAUUAUGGCUGUCUUUAAAAUCAUGUGUAAAUGUAGAAUAUCCUGAAUCAGUGUAAAAUCCUGUGUAAUAGAACAUAGCAACAUGAAAGUUAAUGAAAACCUGCCUUUAUGUCAUUUGUCUUUUUACUAUAAAGGCCUGUUUUCAUUAGCUUUCAUUUUUUAGAUACAAUAAACUUUAUAGGACAAAACAAUUGGCGCAUCUAUAGCACUUUAUGGCUAUAUCAUCACAUUUGGACAGCAGUGUUUGUCAUGGCCUUGUAUUUCCACCACCCUGCACAUUUUGGUGUUUUUUUUCCUCCUCUAUAUCACCCAGGUCAGUCUGUUUUAGGCAUGUUAAAAAGCUGAUAAGUAGAAUCAGGUGAGGUAGGAGCAGAGAAAACAUCAAAAAGUGAAGGGCAGUGAUACUCCAGGACCAGGAUUUAGAGAUUAUCACUAUUUCUAUCAUUAUGUGGUGAACAGUGAAAGGUUUUAGUUUUGUGAUUUCGGUCUAUAGAAGCUAAUGAAACAUUCUUACUUUAACACUCUUCUAGUGCCUUUCCAUUAACUACUUACACAACUAGCAUCCUUUCAGAUAGAUCCCGCUAGACUUUGGAUGUCUAUAAUUUAAGACCCUCAUUCUGGCACUCACUGGGCAGUAAAGUGUUAGAGUGGAGAACCUUGCUGAUGUGCUGGCAUUUGCAAAAGGAUUUAUUAGCCUUGUGCAUACAGAGGAAACCCUGGACUAUUAGACAGAGCAGCAGAGCACUAAGAGUGGAGAAGAUCAUCUCACUAAGGUGGGUAUCAGGAAGAGAUCCAAAGUACCUGGAGUGAUGAUCACUCAGUUUGUAGAAGAAGGAAAAGCUCAUCCUGACUUUACCCACAAACCCAUCGCUUUGACCAUUCAAGAAGGGGAUCCAGAACCUACUGUCACAUGGGCAAGAAAUAAUGGAGAUGUAUCUGACAGACUGAAAUAUUAGACUAAGUUCAAUCCCAUUUCUCGAGAACACACAAUUGAGAUGCCCAAUGUUUCUCCAGAACAAGAUGACACUUACAAGUGUUUUGCAACAAAUGAGGUUGGAAGAGCCUCUGUCACUGUUGUAUUAUAUGUUAUUGAAGGUAUGAAAACUGAUAA